AUGAACGCUGGCGGCGUGCCUAAUACAUGCAAGUCGAGCGAACAGAUGAGGAGCUUGCUCCUCUGACGUUAGCGGCGGACGGGUGAGUAACACGUGGAUAACCUACCUAUAAGACUGGGAUAACUUCGGGAAACCGGAGCUAAUACCGGAUAAUAUAUUGAACCGCAUGGUUCAAUAGUGAAAGACGGUUUUGCUGUCACUUAUAGAUGGAUCCGCGCCGCAUUAGCUAGUUGGUAAGGUAACGGCUUACCAAGGCAACGAUGCGUAGCCGACCUGAGAGGGUGAUCGGCCACACUGGAACUGAGACACGGUCCAGACUCCUACGGGAGGCAGCAGUAGGGAAUCUUCCGCAAUGGGCGAAAGCCUGACGGAGCAACGCCGCGUGAGUGAUGAAGGUCUUCGGAUCGUAAAACUCUGUUAUUAGGGAAGAACAAAUGUGUAAAUAACUAUGCACGUCUUGACGGUACCUAAUCAGAAAGCCACGGCUAACUACGUG
Molecule: ribosomal RNA, 496 nt
Filed under: uncultured bacterium
Lineage: Bacteria
Description: partial 16S ribosomal RNA
Rfam family: Bacterial small subunit ribosomal RNA
Source: RNAcentral